RNAcentral lists this ribosomal RNA (516 nucleotides) under uncultured bacterium. RNAcentral describes it as "partial 16S ribosomal RNA". It matches the Rfam family "Bacterial small subunit ribosomal RNA", at positions 28 to 523 of the family's 1533-position model. The record is from RNAcentral.
GAUGAACGCUGGCGGCGUGCCUAAUACAUGCAAGUCGAACGCAUUGAGAGAAGUGCUUGCACUUUUCAAUUUGAGUGGCGAACGGGUGAGUAACACGUGGGCAACCUACCUGAUAGCGGGGGAUAACGAGUGGAAACAUUCGCUAAUACAGCAUAACAAUAGAGAAGGCAUCUUCUUUAUUUAAAAGGCGCUUUCAAGCGUCACUAUCAGAUGGGCCCGCGGUGCAUUAGUUAGUUGGUGGGGUGAAGGCCUACCAAGACGAUGAUGCAUAGCCGGGUUGAGAGACUUAUCGGCCACAUUGGGACUGAGACACGGCCCAAACUCCUACGGGAGGCUGCAGUAGGGAAUCUUCCACAAUGGACGAAAGUCUGAUGGAGCAACGCCGCGUGUGUGAUGAAGGCUUUCGGGUCGUAAAGCACUGUUGUAUGGGAAGAAAUGCUAGGCUAGGAAAUGAGCUUAGUUUGACGGUACCAUACCAGAAAGGGACGGCUAAAUACGUGCCAGCCGCCGCCGUAA